UGCAAGUCGAACGAUGAACCUCCUUCGGGAGGGGAUUAGUGGCGAACGGGUGAGUAACACGUGGGCAAUCUGCCCUGCACUCUGGGACAAGCCCUGGAAACGGGGUCUAAUACCGGAUACGAGAACCUUGGGCAUCCUUGGUUCUGUAAAGCUCCGGCGGUGCAGGAUGAGCCCGCGGCCUAUCAGCUUGUUGGUGAGGUAAUGGCUCACCAAGGCGACGACGGGUAGCCGGCCUGAGAGGGCGACCGGCCACACUGGGACUGAGACACGGCCCAGACUCCUACGGGAGGCAGCAGUGGGGAAUAUUGCACAAUGGGCGAAAGCCUGAUGCAGCGACGCCGCGUGAGGGAUGACGGCCUUCGGGUUGUAAACCUCUUUCAGCAGGGAAGAAGCGAAAGUGACGGUACCUGCAGAAGAAGCGCCGGCUAACUACGUGCCAGCAGCCGCGGUAAUACGUAGGGCGCAAGCGUUGUCCGGAAUUAUUGGGCGUAAAGAGCUCGUAGGCGGCUUGUCGCGUCGGUUGUGAAAGCCCGGGGCUUAACCCCGGGUCUGCAGUCGAUACGGGCAGGCUAGAGUUCGGUAGGGGAGAUCGGAAUUCCUGGUGUAGCGGUGAAAUGCGCAGAUAUCAGGAGGAACACCGGUGGCGAAGGCGGAUCUCUGGGCCGAUACUGACGCUGAGGAGCGAAAGCGUGGGGAGCGA
RNAcentral lists this ribosomal RNA (700 nucleotides) under Streptomyces sp. DRL321. RNAcentral describes it as "bacterial SSU rRNA". It matches the Rfam family "Bacterial small subunit ribosomal RNA", at positions 56 to 771 of the family's 1533-position model. Lineage: Bacteria; Bacillati; Actinomycetota; Actinomycetes; Kitasatosporales; Streptomycetaceae. The record is from RNAcentral.